UCAUAGCUUACAACCCAAUGACAUGAACACUGAAUUCUCCAAUUUGAGGAGACUCUCCACUCCUCCAAAUGAAGUCCUGGAGUCUGUAUCGACACUAACUCUUUUUUCCAGCUCCCCCCCCCCCCCCUCCCCCCGACUCCAUUAGUCCAUAGAAUGGUCCAGACCCAACACGUCGCCAGACCAUUCCCCUCCAAAGUGCCGGUAGAACUCAGCAAGUCAGCCAUCCGUGGUGGGAAACGGAUGGAGAAAUGGGGAGGGCCAGGUUGUUGU
Long non-coding RNA from Amblyraja radiata (thorny skate), 270 nucleotides. RefSeq lists it as uncharacterized. NCBI's taxonomy places the organism in Eukaryota, Metazoa, Chordata, Chondrichthyes, Rajiformes, Rajidae. The record is from RefSeq and is a predicted model, not a curated record. The transcript is spliced from 3 exons.